GAUGAACGCUGGCGGCGUGCCUAAUACAUGCAAGUCGAGCGAACAGAUAAGGAGCUUGCUCCUUUGAAGUUAGCGGCGGACGGGUGAGUAACACGUGGGUAACCUACCUAUAAGACUGGGAUAACUUCGGGAAACCGGAGCUAAUACCGGACAACAUUUAGAACCGCAUGGUUCUAAAGUGAAAGAUGGUUUUGCUAUCACUUAUAGAUGGACCCGCGCCGUAUUAGCUAGUUGGUAAGGUAACGGCUUACCAAGGCGACGAUACGUAGCCGACCGGAGGGGGUGAUGGGCCAACAUGGAACGGAGACACGGUCCAGACGCCUACGGGAGGCAGCAGUAGGGAAUCUUCCGCAAUGGGCGAAAGCCUGACGGAGCAACGCCGCGUGGGUGAUGAAGGGUUUCGGCUCGUAAAACGCUGUUAUUAGGGAAGAACAAAUUUGUUAGUAACUGAGCAAGUCUUGACGGUACCUAACCAGAAAGCCACGGCUAACUACGUGCCAGCAGCCGCCGUAA
RNAcentral lists this ribosomal RNA (513 nucleotides) under uncultured bacterium. RNAcentral's name for it is "partial 16S ribosomal RNA". It matches the Rfam family "Bacterial small subunit ribosomal RNA", at positions 28 to 523 of the family's 1533-position model. The record is from RNAcentral.